CCCUGGAGGCAUGUAAUGAUGGAGCUCGGAUCUCAUUGAGUUGGCACUCAUCUCUCAGAGCACAAAGGCUCUGUGGUGCUUUAGUGAAGUCCUCUGUGUGGCAACCCCUUAGCAGUCUCCUUUCUUCUCCUGGACUUACAAUUAGAGUCAAGACAGAACUCCUCCACAGGAGUCCCCUGGGUGAACUCGAACUUUUCACACAGAUCUGCAGAACAACUGUGUUCACUUUGGGGAAAGUAAAGGAAGCUUACAAGCCCGAAAUGGAAUCUCUUGUUUUAAUUUUAACAUUGGAACAUCACUAAAGCCGUUGGAUGUACCAACCCUGGGAUAUUUUUGAAAAAUGAAAUGAUUUUUGAUCUCAGAAGAAAUGUAAAUGUUUGGACCUGGAUUAAGUUGAGCCUCUGGGACACUGAGCUCCAUCAUCGUAUUUAAUGCCUGACAGAAUGUGACCACGUUUGAAUACCGGAUCUUAAGAGAAGUGACCUGGCUAUGGUGAGGUAGGUCCUAUUCUACUCUAAC
Molecule: long non-coding RNA, 519 nt
Filed under: Mus spicilegus (steppe mouse)
Lineage: Eukaryota; Metazoa; Chordata; Mammalia; Rodentia; Muridae
Description: lncRNA (ENSMSIG00000015424.1)
Source: RNAcentral